AUUGAACGCUGGCGGAAUGCUUUACACAUGCAAGUCGAACGGCAGCACGGACUUCGGUCUGGUGGCGAGUGGCGAACGGGUGAGUAAUACAUCGGAACGUGCCCAAUCGUGGGGGAUAACGUAGCGAAAGCUACGCUAAUACCGCAUACGAUCGAAGGCUGAAAGCGGGGGAUCGCAAGACCUCGCGCGCUUGGAGCGGCCGAUGGCAGAUUAGGUAGUUGGUAGGGUAAAGGCGUAGCAAGCCGCCGAACUGUAGCUGGUCUGAGAGGAUGAUCAGCCACACUGGGACUGAGACACGGCCCAGACUCCUACGGGAGGCAGCAGUGGGGAAUUUUGGACAAUGGACGCAAGUCUGAUCCAGCCAUUCCGCGUGCAGGACGAAGGCCCUCGGGUUGUAAACUGCUUUUGUACAGAACGAAAAGGCUCUGGUUAAUACCUAGGGCUCAUGACGGUACUGUAAGAAUAAGCACCGGCUAACUACGUGCCAGCCGCCGCAGUAA
This 500-nucleotide ribosomal RNA is filed under the name uncultured bacterium. RNAcentral describes it as "partial 16S ribosomal RNA". It matches the Rfam family "Bacterial small subunit ribosomal RNA", at positions 30 to 523 of the family's 1533-position model. The record is from RNAcentral.